Molecule: ribosomal RNA, 776 nt
Filed under: uncultured Neocallimastigales
Lineage: Eukaryota; Fungi; Neocallimastigomycota; Neocallimastigomycetes; Neocallimastigales
Description: partial large subunit ribosomal RNA
Rfam family: Eukaryotic large subunit ribosomal RNA
Source: RNAcentral
UAUGUGAUCGUCUCUCGCAUAUCAAUAAGCGGAGGAAAAGAAACUAACAAGGAUUCCCUUAGUAACGGCGAGUGAAGCGGGAAGAGCUCAAAUUUGAAAUCUUCAAGGUUUUACCUUGACGAAUUGUAGUUUAAAGAAGUGUUUUCUGUUGAAGUUUUGGUAAAAGUUCUUUGGAAUAGGACAUCAUAGAGGGUGAGAAUCCCGUAUUUGACCAUUAUUUUCAGCUGUGUGAUACACUUUCAAAGAGUCGGAUUGUUUGGGAAUGCAGUCCAAAAUGGGUGGUAAAUUUCAUCUAAAGCUAAAUAUUGGCGAGAGACCGAUAGCGAACAAGUACCGUGAGGGGAAAGAUGAAAAGAACUUUGAAAAGAGAGUUAAACAGUACGUGAAAUUGUCAAAAGGGAAGCGUUUGACACCAGUGUUGUUUUCUCGAAAAUCAAUUAAAAAGAGUUUAGAUUUUGUUGUGUAUUGACCUUAACAGCUUGCAUUUCAAUUUUCUUGCUUUUUUUAAUGCACUUUUCGUUUAACAAGUCAACAUCAGUUUCUUUUGUUGUAAAAAGGUCAUUGGAAGGUGGCUUUCUUUUCGGAGAAAGUGUUUAUAGCCUUUGACUCCUGCAAUCGGAGAGACUGAGGUCUGCAGCGUAGAUCCUUCGGGGUUAGAUACAUUUGUGCUAAGUUAUAGCUUUUUAUAGACAACUUGUUGACUAUGAUUAGUCUUGUAGCUUACUCGCUUAUGCUAUUUUACCUACGCUUAGGAUGUUGAAGAUGUAGCACAUCAU